AUGCAAGUCGAGCGGUACAGAUCCAGCUUGCUGGAUGCUGACGAGCGGCGGACGGGUGAGUAAUGCAUAGGAAUCUGCCCGAUAGUGGGGGAUAACCUGGGGAAACCCAGGCUAAUACCGCAUACGUCCUACGGGAGAAAGGGGGCUUCGGCUCCCGCUAUCGGAUGAGCCUAUGUCGGAUUAGCUAGUUGGUGAGGUAAAGGCUCACCAAGGCAACGAUCCGUAGCUGGUCUGAGAGGAUGAUCAGCCACAUCGGGACUGAGACACGGCCCGAACUCCUACGGGAGGCAGCAGUGGGGAAUAUUGGACAAUGGGGGCAACCCUGAUCCAGCCAUGCCGCGUGUGUGAAGAAGGCCCUCGGGUUGUAAAGCACUUUCAGCGAGGAAGAACGCCUAGUGGUUAAUACCCGCUAGGAAAGACAUCACUCGCAGAAGAAGCACCGGCUAACUCCGUGCCAGCAGCCGCGGUAAUACGGAGGGUGCAAGCGUUAAUCGGAAUUACUGGGCGUAAAGCGCGCGUAGGUGGCUUGAUAAGCCGGUUGUGAAAGCCCCGGGCUCAACCUGGGAACGGCAUCCGGAACUGUCAAGCUAGAGUGCAGGAGAGGAAGGUAGAAUUCCCGGUGUAGCGGUGAAAUGCGUAGAGAUCGGGAGGAAUACCAGUGGCGAAGGCGGCCUUCUGGACUGACACUGACACUGAGGUGCGAAAGCGUGGGUAGCAAACAGGAUUAGAUACCCUGGUAGUCCACGCCGUAAACGAUGUCGACCAGCCGUUGGGUGCCUAGCGCACUUUGUGGCGAAGUUAACGCGAUAAGUCGACCGCCUGGGGAGUACGGCCGCAAGGUUAAAACUCAAAUGAAUUGACGGGGGCCCGCACAAGCGGUGGAGCAUGUGGUUUAAUUCGAUGCAACGCGAAGAACCUUACCUACUCUUGACAUCCUGCGAAUUCGGUAGAGAUACCUUAGUGCCUUCGGGAACGCAGAGACAGGUGCUGCAUGGCUGUCGUCAGCUCGUGUUGUGAAAUGUUGGGUUAAGUCCCGUAACGAGCGCAACCCUUGUCCUUAUUUGCCAGCGCGUAAUGGCGGGAACUCUAAGGGAAACUGCCGGUGACAACCCGGAGGAAAGGUGGGGACGACGUCAAGU
RNAcentral lists this ribosomal RNA (1139 nucleotides) under Halomonas taeheungii. RNAcentral describes it as "bacterial SSU rRNA". It matches the Rfam family "Bacterial small subunit ribosomal RNA", at positions 55 to 1190 of the family's 1533-position model. The record is from RNAcentral. Lineage: Bacteria; Pseudomonadati; Pseudomonadota; Gammaproteobacteria; Oceanospirillales; Halomonadaceae.